UAGCUCAGAUGGUAGAGCGACAGACUCUUAAUCUGUUGGUCGUGGGUUCGAGCCCCAU
This 58-nucleotide transfer RNA is filed under the name Rhodomonas lens. It matches the Rfam family "tRNA", at positions 8 to 63 of the family's 71-position model. Rfam says of the family: Transfer RNA (tRNA) molecules are approximately 80 nucleotides in length. Their secondary structure includes four short double-helical elements and three loops (D, anti-codon, and T loops). Further hydrogen bonds mediate the characteristic L-shaped molecular structure. tRNAs have two regions of fundamental functional importance: the anti-codon, which is responsible for specific mRNA codon recognition, and the 3' end, to which the tRNAs corresponding amino acid is attached (by aminoacyl-tRNA synthetases). tRNAs cope with the degeneracy of the genetic code in two manners: having more than one tRNA (with a specific anti-codon) for a particular amino acid; and 'wobble' base-pairing, i.e. permitting non-standard base-pairing at the 3rd anti-codon position. The record is from RNAcentral. Lineage: Eukaryota; Cryptophyceae; Pyrenomonadales; Pyrenomonadaceae.